CCUCAGCGCUGAUAGUGAUCCUAAUCAGACCUCCGAGAAAAACCUCUAAGUUAUGGUAUAGACAGCCCGUACCGCAAACCGACACAGGUGGGUGGGAUGAAUAUUCUAAGGCGCUCGGGUGAGCCGUGGAGAAGGAACUAGGCAAUUGACGCUGUAACUUCGGGAUAAAGCGUACCGAUUUCGGUCGGUCUCAGUAAAAUGGUACAACCAACUGUUUAGCAAAAACACAGGGCACUGCAAAAUCGAAAGAUGACGUAUAGAGCCUGAUACCUGCCCGGUGCUGGAAGGUUAAGGAAGGAUGUUCGACGCAAGUCAAAGCUUCUGACUGAAGCCCCAGUAAACGGCGGCCGUAACAAUAACGGUCCUAAGGUAGCGAAAUUCCUUGUCGGGUAAGUUCCGACCUGCACGAAUGGUCUAAUGAGUUGUACACUGUCUCCUCCACGAGCCCGGUGAAAUUGUAGUAUCGGUGAAGAUGCCGGUUACCCGUCACGGGACGGAAAGACCCCAUGAACCUUCACUACAACUUUGCAUUGAUUUUGAAUUUUUGAUGUGUAGGAUAGUUGGGAGACUUCGAAGGAGUGUCGCUAGGCAUUCUGGAGUCGUCGUUGAAAUACCAACCUUUAAACAUUUAGAAUCUAAUCCCUAACGGGAAACAGUGCAUGGUGGGUAGUUUGACUGGGGUGGUCGCCUCCUAAAAUGUAACGGAGGCUUGCAAAGGUUCCCUCAGUGCGGUUGGUAAUCGUACAUAGAGCGUAUUAGUAUAAGGGAGCUUACUGUGAGGCUUACAAGCCGAUCAGGGACGAAAGUCGGCUAAAGUGAUCCGGCGGUUCUGUAUGGAAGGGCCGUCGCUCAAAGGAUAAAAGGUACUCUGGGAUAACAGGCUGAUCUUACCCAAGAGCUCAUAUCGACGGUAAGGUUUGGCACCUCGAUGUCGGUUCGUCACAUCCUGGGGCUGGAGAAGGUCCCAAGGGUUCGGCUGUUCGCCGAUUAAAGUGGCACGUGAACUGGGUUCAGAACGUCGCAAGACAGUUCGGUCCCUAUCUGUGAUGGGCGCUAGUAAAUUGAGAAGACAUGACUUUAGUACGAGAGGACCGAGUCGUAUGUUCCGCUGGUGUAUCUGUUGUGCCGCCAGGUGCAAUGCAGAGUAGCUAUGAACAGCAAGGAUAAACGCUGAAAGCAUCUAAGCGUGAAACCUUCUUCAAGAUGAGUUUACUUUUAAGGGCCGUGGAAGACUACCACGUUGAUAGGCUAUAGGUAUAAGGGUGGUAACAUCGAAGCCGAGUAGUACUAAUUACCCGUAAGCUUUAUUGG
RNAcentral lists this ribosomal RNA (1311 nucleotides) under metagenome. Its description in RNAcentral is "bacterial LSU rRNA". It matches the Rfam family "Bacterial large subunit ribosomal RNA", at positions 1576 to 2925 of the family's 2925-position model. The record is from RNAcentral.